GCUCAAGUUGCGUCGCGCCGACCCCGAUUCGCGUCUCGUGAAUCGUGAAUCCCCUCGAGCAGAGCACCGAUCCGACCGCGCACUUGUCCUUCGUUCCGUGUUUACCCAACUUGCGCUCGGCACGUUUAAUUAUAUUUCGCCCUCCUUAUCGCGCCGCUGUACCCAGCCGCUGUUUGUCGUUUUUACGGGACCCUAGCUUAAAGCUACAUCAAGGAGCAAGAAGAAAAUGCCAACAUUUGCUGUGAAAGCGGCAAAGAGUGUGACUGAAAGUAGUUCUGUAGAGAAGGGUGAGGAGCUGAAGGUUGACUUUCCAUAUCAGAGAGUGAGUUUGAAGUCACCACAGGCAGAGCCAGCAGGAAAGACACCGAACUUUGGAAUUGCGGUGACUCAGAGACAUCCAGGAAGUCCGCCUAAGAAUGGAUCCCUGGGAGGGAGUGAGGUCAUUUCUAAAACGACUGAAACAGUCAAGCAGUUGACCAUUAAUGGAUCAGGUAGCAAUGAUACUGCUCAAAAUACCAGAACAAUGGUAAGACUUGGUGGUGCCUGGGGCCUGAUCAAGCCAGACAUCUCAAGCUCAAAUGGUAAGGUUCCCAUUGUGAUGCAAAAAUCCAAGAAGCCAGAAGAAAAUGGUAAAGAAAUAUUCAAACCACCAUUUCCAUUUACUGAACAACUGCAGAAAAAAAUGAAACUGUCCACAGUGCCAAAAGUAGUGCCACUCAUUAAUACAGUGGGGAAUCAAUCUAAACUGAUUCCUUUGACAUUUCCACCAGCGAACCAAACUUCUACAACAACUCCUACAACUGGGGUUAACAGUUCAGUAUCCCAAUCUCAGUCUAAAUUGGUAAAAAAAGAUACUUCAAAAUCCAUGUCAAUCUUAGAAGCUACAUUAACGUCAGCCCCCAAAGACCAAAGUAAUGGUACUAAUAUUCCAAAAUCAAGAACAGUAACCUCAUCCUCUUCAAAUUUACCUUUGACCUCUGAUGAUCAAUCCUUAAAUCAUGAGAAUUCUCUUGAUAAAGGAACAAAUCCAUCAGCAGCAAUUUCCAAGUUGAUUAAGAAACCAAAGUGUGUUAUAAGCUAUGAGAAGGGUGUCACAAGGCUUGUUGCUGUCGAGAGAAGAACAGUGACCAUGGUUGAUGUAUCAGUGCAGGUAUCUAUUCCUCAGUUUGAUGCUGAAAAUCAAGGACAAUUGUUGACCGUACCUACCAAUGCUGUCUCAUCAGAAACAGGUUCUAUUCAGCCUCAAACAACCUCCACUUUGCCCUUACCUCAGAAACCAUUUGUUGUUGUGGAUGCAAAUGGGAAAAAAGUCUUUGCCAUAUCAAAACAAAUUUUAAGUACCUAUGGGGGAGCCAAAAAAAUUGUUAUUGAGGGAAAAGGGAUCAAGCGAAAAGCUGAUACAUCCAUUGAAAGUUUAGUCAAUGAUGAUGUAAAUAGAGCUGCCUUACCAAUAUCAGUAAAUAUCAGUCAAUCAGGGCAACCGUCAUUAUCUUCAUCUGAUUCCAGUCAAUCUAAUCUUCUUUCUGGCAAAACCUUGUCUGAUAAUCCCCCAGAUGCUUCAUUAUCAUUUGAAACUUUAACAACUUCAAGCUGUCAAACGCUUCCUAGCAUAUCAUCCUCUCAUCAAAAUUUAUGUAACUCUUCAAAUUCUAUUGGUGCACAGUAUUGUGAUACUGCCCCAAACCAAUCAGGUCUUACCGCCAGAAUAGGUACUUCUAGCAGACCAACUGUUUUACUUUCUCAGACACCUAGUAGAAGUCAUGUCAUAACUUCUGAUUCUUUGGUUUUGCCUCUUGAUGCUCCUUUUCAGUUCGAAGGCAGUUCCUCGCAAGAAACAAUUUGUGUGCCUUCAAGCAAAAUUCAAACUUUUUCCAAGAAUUCGGAUUCUAUUGUUUUGCCUUUACAUUCACCAAUAGGAACUCAGUCACUGCAUUCUGAUGAUGCUUCAAUGGGUGUUUUCCCAAACUACUUUAUUGUCAUGCCAAGUUCAAAUAAUUCAAAUAUAGAUCCUGGAAAGGCUCUAAAAGAUGCACUAAAUGAGCCGCCCACCUAUUCUCCCCUUAUGGAUUUAAUAGACGAGGUAAAGGCUGGCCAUCAGAGAAAGACAGUCAGUUCAUCAUCUCAGCCUAAGAGUAAUAAUGGGGGGCAAGUUAACAGUACUGUUGUGCCAAUGAUAACUAAAAACCCAGUUACUAGCUCCUCUAACAAUCUCAAUGGUAAAGAUCAUUCUAACCUUGGUAAGGCUGGUGGAAACUUCUCCAAAGGCAAAGUCAUUUCUGCUUCAAGUCCCAGUAAUGGAGUGUUGGAGAUGUCUGCUAAAGGUGACAUUGAAAACUUAGUCAGAUCUGCUCUCUCAGAUUUUAAACAAUGUUUGUCUAUGAAUAAAGACGGACAAUACCCAAUACAUGCUGCAGUAGAGAGCGACGAUGUAGCAGCUCUGAAACGUCAGUGCAUAGUGUUGAAAGCUCGGAGAGCCUCUGUUGAUAUCAAAAACCAACAAGAUGAGACUCCUCUUCAACUUGCACUGUACUUCGGCCAUACCCCAUGCAUCAAAGUUCUCCUGGAACAUGGUGCCAGUGGAAAUUUUUUUGAUCAGGAUGGAAAUUCUUCAUUACAUCUUGCCAUAUUGUAUGCUGGUGAUGCCCUUCGAUUUCUUCUGAUGUCUGGCAGGUUCUCCCAGUCAUUUCUAAAUUGUCUUAAUGAUGAAGGAUUUUCGGCUCUUCAUCUUGCUGCCCAAUCUGAUAAGGUUGAAGCUAUCAAACUUUUGAUAAAAUUUGGGGCAGAUGUUGACCUUCCUCUAUUUGCCUUUAUGGGAUUUCUUGCAGUAGUUUCCCUGUUAGUGGAAUUCAUGCAGAAAUCAACCAACGAUGACUUCAUUGAGGCAUUGAGUAUUAUGACUUCAAUUAUGAUGGGAAGAGUGGGCGAACAGCUCUUUUUCAUGCUGUUGAACGCAAACAUUAUAAAUCUCAACAAAUUCUUGAAGCUUGUGGAGCUAAUGUGAAAGAACCCACAUUUACCGGCUCUACUCCAUUCUCCAUAACCCGUACUGAUGCAAUUGCUCAACUUGCUAGUGGGCAAAAUACAUUUGGUGAAAUAAUUGAUUCAGAUACUCUUCUUAAACCAAGACGAAGGAUUGGAAAAGUCAAAUAAGAGAUUGUUUUUGUUAUGAUUUGUACUGAACACAAUACUGAAAACUCACCCAAAAUGUUGUGUUCCGUACUUUUCCAUUCAAAGUUAAUUUUUUAUCCAGGGUACCUCAAUUUAACCAUGAUUUAACACUAAAUGGAAGAAUGAGGUAUGAUGAAUGAUGAUGUAUGAUGAAUUCUUAUUCAAGCUUUUUGUUUUGUAUCUAUUUAUUUAUUUAUUUUCUCACGUUUAGACUGUAACAGUUAGCGUUGUUAUUUUUUCCUAUACACUUAGUAGCCUGUAUUUAAAAUUGGCCAGUUGGAAUGGUUUUUCAAUUAUCAUCUGAAGCCAGUGACGUCAUCUGUGAUCAUGUUAAUUUUGUUGUUGUAUUUCGUUUCCUCUUUUGUACAAUUGCCCUUUUUUGUGAGUGAUCUGCAAGCGUGGUGUGUAUCCUUAUCACAUCAAAUUUCAAAAGCUAAACUUUGCAACCAACUCCCAUCACUUUCUCUGCACUGAAACAUACUACAGUACAAAAUUAUGUGUCUGUUAGUGUAAAUAAUGUGUUCAUAUAUUGCUGUGAUUUUGUACUUGUGUAUAUUAAUUGUGACGCGUUGGCUGUGGCUCAUCAUUAUUGUCACAAGGAUCAUUAUUUUGUAGCCCUUUGCGCUCAGCCAAUGUGUUUAAUUGUGGCAUAGUUAAUAGUCUUCCAAAACAUGUGACUCACUGUGUAACGUGUGCGACAUCACUCAAUCUAUUUCUUUAUUAUAGAUGAACAGUACACACAAUAAAACUUUACUCAAAUCGAAAUCAAA
RNA transcript from Frankliniella occidentalis (western flower thrips), 3938 nucleotides. RefSeq lists it as uncharacterized. The record is from RefSeq and is a predicted model, not a curated record. The transcript has 9 exons. NCBI's taxonomy places the organism in Eukaryota, Metazoa, Arthropoda, Insecta, Thysanoptera, Thripidae.